UCCCAAGCCUUCUGGCGAUCUCUUAAAAUAAAGCCUCACGUCAUAAUCCCUCCAGGUUUUUCAAAAAAACAUGCGUUUCAAGGUGCCAUGGAUUUUAAAGACCGUGGAUUUACUCAGAACUUAUGGGUUUUAAAAAAGGCUUUAAAAGGAAAUAACUAAAAAAGCUUUUCCUGUGAUUUAAGAUGAUACCGGGGAAGGUUUUCCGGUUUAUCCCGGAGGGCUUGUAGCUCAGUUGGUUAGAGCGCGCGCUUGAUAAGCGUGAGGUCGGAGGUUCAAGUCCUCCCAGGCCCACCAAUUUAUGCUCGUUUUUUGCUUAUCCAAGAGUAUGAAGCUUAAGCGUAUUAAAGCCUCUUCAAUCUUUGUUUAUUUUUAAAGAUUUAAUUUUAUUAUUCAGAGAUUGUUUGUUAAAUUUAUCCCAUUAAGCUUCCAAAGAGGCUUUGUCCCUUCAGUGGUACAGAUAAAUUUACAUGAUACAAAUCAAAACAGGACAGGUAAUUCAAGUUGAUGAAUUUGGUUAUGGUUGAUUUGAGAGAGCAUUAUUUAGGGGCCGUAGCUCAGCUGGGAGAGCACCUGCUUUGCAAGCAGG
RNAcentral lists this unclassified non-coding RNA (586 nucleotides) under uncultured Bartonella sp. RNAcentral describes it as "partial 16S-23S ribosomal RNA intergenic spacer". The stretch from base 218 to 291 matches the Rfam family "tRNA". Lineage: Bacteria; Pseudomonadati; Pseudomonadota; Alphaproteobacteria; Hyphomicrobiales; Bartonellaceae. The record is from RNAcentral.